GUGGGACUGCUGAAGAGAUCAUUUCUACUUUGGAGACUUGACGGUUCACACUUUCAGACUGAGGGGAAGUCUUGUGUCUUGUUAGCUCUCUGAGAAGGUGCUUCGAAGGCAGAAAGCAGAAGAACCCAAGUGGCUGAUGAAACUUCACCAGCUUCUGCCAGGCAAUACAGAACAUUGUAGCCCUUCUGAUGAACAGAAAGAGUCCAGGUUUAAAUCUGAGGAACAUCUAGCGUUCGACCCUUCAGUUCACAGUACGUUACAAUCCUCACAGAACCUGAUGGUCAGCCCUCCAGAUGAUGAUUCAUCAGUGUCCAGUGGCAUGUGGUUCUGUCCUGGUGAGAGUGAUGGUCUGCCCUCCAGAUGUAGACGGAUGAAAGUUCAUCACUCAGGCAAAACCAAAGCCCAUUACUCUCCUCAUCACCGGUACAGACUAUUCAUUUAGAUUUGAUCUGAGGAGAUUUUGUGAUAUUUGAGUUUCAGUAUAGUUUGUAAACUCUCCUCAUCACCUUUACAUUUAGAUUUUAUUUGAUAAGAUUUUGUUAUCAGUGCUAUAGUUAUUAGUGCAGUCAUAAAUGUUAAGUUUUUUUAACUAUAAAACAUCACUGGCAAGGACACAGACUAAACAUGUAUUAUGAAAAGUGAUGUCUAUAAUAUUUAGAUUAUUAUUAUUACACCUGACAUCACAUGCAUAUAGAUGCACAUUGAAUAUUCUUUGAACUCAGAACUACUAAGUUCAGAUCAAAAUUGUUGAGAAUAAUCAAAACAAUUCUAAAUGUAAGUUUAUUCCUACCGUUCCUAUCCUAUCACGCCUCAGCUAGCGUACUUCACAUCACUUAUUCUGCCUCACCUUACCUGCAUCACCCGGCCUGCAUCACCCAGCCUGCCCCACUCAGCCCAGCUCACACAGCUUGCCCCAUAUGGCUAACCCCCCCCCGACCUGCCCUGCUUUGCCUGUACACGUAGUCUGCCCUGCCCUGCCUGGCCCGUCCGGCCUGCCCCGCCUGCCUACCUGAGCCCCGCGGCCUCUGCUCACCGCUCACCAGACCUGCGCAUGCUAGUUAUCCCUGCUAGGUAGAUAUUUGUGUAGGUGGGGUGUAGAUAGGUAGAGAUUUGUGUAGGUGGGGUGUAGAUAGGUAGAUAAUUGUGUAGGUAGGUAGAUAUUUGUGUAGGUGGGGUGUAGGUAGGUAGAUAUUUGUGUAGGUGGGGUGUAGAUAGGUAGAUAUUUGUGUAGGUAGGUAGAUAUUUGUGUAGGUGGGGUGUAGGUAGGUAGAUAUUUGUGUAGGUGGGGUGUAGAUAGGUAGAUAUUUGUGUAGGUAGGUAGAGAUUUGUGUAGGUGGGGUGUAGGUAGGUAGAUAUUUGUGUAGGUGGGGUGUAGAUAGGUAGAUAUUUGUGUAGGUGGGGUGUAGAUAGGUAGAUAUGUGGGUAGGUAGAUAUUUGUGUAGGUGGGGUGUAGAUAGGUAGAUAUGUGGGUAGGUAGAUAUUUGUGUAGGUGGGGUGUAGAUAGGUAGAUAUGUGGGUAGGUAGAUAUUUGUGUAGGUGGGGUGUAGGUAGGUAGAUAUUUGUGUAGGUGGGGUGUAGAUAGGUAGAUAUGUGGGUAGGUAGAUAUUUGUGUAGGUGGGGUGUAGGUAGGUAGAUAUGUGGGUAGGUAGAUAUUUGUGUAGGUGGGGUGUAGAUAGGUAGAUAUGUGGGUAGGUAGAUAUUUGUGUAGGUGGGGUGUAGGUAGGUAGAUAUUUGUGUAGGUGGGGUGUAGGUAGGUAGAUAUUUGUGUAGGUGGGGUGUAGAUAGGUAGAUAUGUGGGUAGGUAGAUAUUUGUGUAGGUGGGGUGUAGGUAGGUAGAUAUGUGGGUAGGUAGAUAUUUGUGUAGGUGGGGUGUAGAUAGGUAGAUAUGUGGGUAGGUAGAUAUUUGUGUAGGUGGGGUGUAGAUAGGUAGAUAUGUGGGUAGGUAGAUAUUUGUGUAGGUGGGGUGUAGAUAGGUAGAUAUGUGGGUAGGUAGAUAUUUGUGUAGGUGGGGUGUAGAUAGGUAGAUAUGUGGGUAGGUAGAUAUUUGUGUAGGUGGGGUGUAGGUAGGUAGAGAUUUGUGUAUAUAUGAGCAGGUGUGUAGGUGUGUGUAGAUGAGCAGGUGGUGUGUAGGUCAGUAGGUGUGUGUAGGUGGUCUGUCAGUGAGCAGCUAGGUGGACAGUUGUGUAGGUCAGUAGGUGUGUGUAAGUGGUCAGUCAGUGAGCAGCUAGGUGGACAGUUGUGUAGGUCAGUAGGUGUGUGUAAGUGGUCAGUCAGUGAGCAGGUAGGUGGACAGUUCUGUAGGUCAGUAGGUGUGUGUAGGUGGUCUGUCAGUGAGCUGGUAGGUGGACAGUGUUCAGGUCAGUAGGUGUGUGUAGGUGGUCAGUCAGUGAGCUGGUAGGUGGACAGUUGUGUAGGUCAGUAGGUAUGUGUAGGUGGUCAGUCAGUGAGCUGGUAGGUGGACAGUUGUGUAGGUCAGUAGGUUGAGUUUCAGUUGUUUAGGUGUGAAGUAGAGCUGCACGAUUCUGGACCAAAUGAGAAAUACGUCGUUUUUUUAGAAUAUAAAUCACGCUUUUCUAUUUCUAUGAACUUUAGUGAUUUAGAAACCCUGCACCUUAAAUUACCAAACGUAAACAAAACAGAAAAAAUGCUCUUUGCUUUUAUUAAAUUUAAACAAAUAAAAACAAAUGACUACCAGGUUUUUCAUGAGAAAUAAAUAAAUCACAAUU
Long non-coding RNA from Hemibagrus wyckioides, 2726 nucleotides. RefSeq lists it as uncharacterized. Lineage: Eukaryota; Metazoa; Chordata; Actinopteri; Siluriformes; Bagridae. The record is from RefSeq and is a predicted model, not a curated record. The transcript is spliced from 3 exons.